UCCUAGCCCCGAUUGCAGUGGCACGAAGUAGAACAGAAAGCGGGAAAAUGG
This 51-nucleotide small RNA is filed under the name Flavobacterium cauense R2A-7. Its description in RNAcentral is "Flavo-1 RNA". The record is from RNAcentral. Lineage: Bacteria; Pseudomonadati; Bacteroidota; Flavobacteriia; Flavobacteriales; Flavobacteriaceae.